RNAcentral lists this ribosomal RNA (468 nucleotides) under uncultured bacterium. Its description in RNAcentral is "partial 16S ribosomal RNA". The stretch from base 62 to 468 matches the Rfam family "Bacterial small subunit ribosomal RNA", at positions 39 to 507 of the family's 1533-position model. The record is from RNAcentral.
GGGGGGGGGGGGGGGGGGGGGGGGGGGGGGCGGGGGGGGCGGGGGGGGGCGGGGGGGGGGGGGGGCGCGGGGGGCGGGGGGGGGAGGGACGCGGGAGUGGCCGGCCGGUGGCGUGGGGAUAGCGUCAGGGAACUGGGGCUACUGCCGGAGAGGCGCUCCGGCUGCAUGGUGGGGGCUGGACAGUUGCGGCGGUUGGGGAUGGUCUCGAGGCUGCUCGGCGUGUUGGUGGGGUAGUGGCUUACCACGGCCUUGACGGGUCGCCGGCCUGAGAGGGUGGCCGGCCCCAUUGGGACUGAGAGACGGCCCAGACUCCUACGGGAGGCAGCUGGGGGGAAUAUUGCACAAUGGGCGGAAGCCUGAUGCAGCAACGCCGCGUGCGGGAUGACGGCCUUCGGGUUGUAAACCGCUUUCGCCUGUGACGAAGCGUGAGUGACGGUAAUGGGUAAAGAAGCACCGGCUAACUACGUG